Chiloscyllium plagiosum (whitespotted bambooshark) is the source of this 105-nucleotide small nuclear RNA. NCBI's taxonomy places the organism in Eukaryota, Metazoa, Chordata, Chondrichthyes, Orectolobiformes, Hemiscylliidae. The record is from RefSeq and is a predicted model, not a curated record.
GUUCACCUUGGCAGCACAUUUCCUAAAAUUGGAACAAUAUACAGAAGAUCAGUAGAGCCCCUGUGCAAGGAUAACAUGCAAAUUCGUGAUAAGAGUGUUGUCAAA